RNA transcript from Panicum virgatum (switchgrass), 3053 nucleotides. RefSeq lists it as uncharacterized. The transcript has 4 exons. The record is from RefSeq and is a predicted model, not a curated record. Lineage: Eukaryota; Viridiplantae; Streptophyta; Magnoliopsida; Poales; Poaceae.
AAAACAAAACUUCCCAACCCUCGGUCGACCCCGGCCUCCACCAUACCGCAUCCGCCGCCCGCCGCCCUCCACCCUGCCGCGGAGCCGAACGCCGCCGCCGCUCGCAGCAUGCCGUAGAACCGGCCGCCGGAAGCGCGGGCCGCGGAGCCGACCGCCGCCGCCGCUCGCAGCGCGCCUCAGAUCCGGCCGCCAGAGGUCCACGCGCCGGCGUGCCGCGCAGCGGCAGGCCCCGACGCACCAAACCCUAAAGAGCUGGCCCCGCCGGCGCCGCCCUGGGGAUGGCGCCACACCACAUCGCCGCCUCCUCUCCGCCUCUCGCCUCCUCCCCACGCAUGCCCAUGCUCCACUCCGCCUCGUGAUCGGACCGGCGCGGAUCUUCUUGGAGAUUUGGGGGGUAGUUUGGUUUUGUUGCUAUUUUCGGAACGCCACGAAGCCGGCCGCCGGACAACGCCCGCCGCACGCCUGCGGCUGACGGCGCGGCCGCUGCGCCGGGCCGCCGCCGUCUGCCCCAACGCCCGCCGCCAACUCUAUAUCCUCAAGCGCCGGCGGCAUUGGAGAUCCGCAUGCGGGAGGCCACGGAGAGGGCGAGCAUGGCAUGGCUGGGGCGACCUCCAAUCCCUGCCGAGGCUUUCUUGGAUUUCCCUCCCUGUGCGUGGAUGAACUGUCGUUGGUUUUCCCAUGUAGUUGGCGCAGCUUCUUGAUUGAUUCUUGGUGAAACCCGGUUUGUGCCUGGUUGAGUCGGAACUGUGUCCCCAGAUUCUUGGUUUCAAAAACCUAGGUUCUUGAUUGAUUAGCCUUUUCCCAUGAGUGGCGUUAAGAUUGUGUGGCCCGUGGUGGAAAUUCCUGUUUAUUUGGAGUUGAAUCAGGAACAAAUUUUUAGUUAUGGAACCAUAGCCCUUCGAUUCGAUUUAGGGAUCAAGGCCGAGGUUCUGGUGGCUUGCAGUCGCAGACCACUUUGUGUUGGUGUUUUUUUUCCUAGAUUGGUUUGGUCGUUAUCCCCAAGAUUGCAUGUUCUGCUGCAAUAAAUAGUUUUAACAUUUAGGCCAUUUCUAGCUGAACUGAGAUGGUGAUCUCGCAAUUGCAUUAUAAUUAGGCUCUCCAGUUGAUUCACAUAUUCUUUCUUAUGAGAUUGGCUUGAUAAAUGAAGCAUGAAUCUACUAUUAUUGGUGGUUUGUUCGUGUGCCAGUGUCAUCAGUCAUCACUAUUGGUGGUUUUUCAUUGGUACACCACAAGUUCAUACAGAAUCUGAUAGCGAAGUGAGAGAAAAGAGGGGGAGGGGUGGUAACCGGAGCAGGUUUCAGAAAGAGCACCUAGCAGACUGACAUUCAGCCCAACUAAGCCCCUUGAUUGAAACAUAAGCAGAUUUAAGAAAGACCACCUAGCAGACUGACAUUCACCCCCAUUGCCUAUGUGGGUCACAUAAUCAGUAAUUGAACACUAGGCACCACUGUUGCUUGGCUAGCUCAUUUUUUUAAUUCUGAAAUAUAUCACCAUUGGUGUUCUACAUGCAUGUGAAUACAUGGUAUUUAAUUUCAUAAAAUUUCAAGAGCUACCAUUUUGCUUACACUGGUGCAUAAUUGUUACAAUUGUUACAUACAUGAUUUGUCAAGUGCUUGAUUAUCUAAGGUCUAUGUAGGGAAUGUGCUGCAUUACCAGAAGAUGGAAUCCGUAUGCAAUGUUGCCUCAAUUCAGUGUAUUUUUCUCUGCUGCAGUGCUUAAAAUUUUUGUAUGGAGAGCUUUCUCGAAAUUGAGCAGUUUGGAGAGUCUCAUUCUACCAUAAAUCGGCUCCUAGGAGCAUUGUCCUAAAAGAAAAGCAAAUGCAUCUGCCAACCGUGUCGCAGGUGCGCCCCCGAGAUCCAACAGCUACGCAUCCUCCCUGCCAUCUGACGUUGCUGACGGAGUUCUUGGUUCAAAUCUUUUAUGAAUUCAGUUAGAUGCAGCAAAAGAUUACACUCAACCGUACUCUGAACAGCUAUAAAAAGAGUUCAGUAAAGUAGUGAUGAGAAGAUGAGACCUGCACUAAAAUAUUCUUAAUUGUUGAAGUUUACAGGGUCCAAGAGCAGAACACGGGUUGUGACAUGGGCCACAUGAAUAUGAGGAAGACAUUGACAGUUCACCCUUGACUUCAGUUAGAUGCAGUAAGAUAACUUCUAUAUUGUGCUAUUUUUCUAAUGCUCUGUGAACAAAUGCCAAUCAUAGAUAUAUAGUGGUUCUUUCAUUUUGCAGUGAUCAAGACAUGCUUAAUUCUUGAAACUGGAUAGCUGCAUGUAUUAACCAGCUAAUCUUUGUUUUUUUUGUCCCAAAGUGUUCCGGCAUCUAUAGUAUUAUUAAGAAUACUGCAUUUGGGCCUCCAAGUAUAGUCUGCAAUUUUAAAAUGAAACAUAAACUUAAAAUUAUUCUGUACCAUUUGCUUUCAUGAUUUAGAGCUGAGAGAAUGGCAAGCCGAGAAAAUAUUUGUGGCUUGUUAUGGUUGACAUGCAAUUCCAAAGUUGUAAAUACAGUUAGGGACUGUAUUUUUUCUUGGUUAUAUUUCUUACCAUUACUUCUUAGUUCUUACCUUGGAGAGUUGGAAUUGAAUUACAAGUAUAGCCACUGAGAUACAUAGGUCAGUAGUAUCAAACUUGAAUGUCUGUAUACUUCUCUAAAUGCACACAGAUAGCCAGCAUUUACAAAGAUUAUCCAAAGACAAGAAAUUAAUAAUGCCUUUUACUAAAUGUUCAAGUGCAUAUGUGCGUGAUCUCCAUUCUGCCCUUAUAUAGAUCUGAUAGCUGAGAUUAUUAAAUGCUGGUCUGAUGAAUGAAAAAAAAAAUCUUAUUAUGAAGUUAUUUGUUUGUUGUAGUGGGGUACUUUCUUAUUUGUGCUGGUGAAAAAUUGUUCAUUGGAGUAGCAUGGGAUGGUCAUCAAGGAGAAAUAUGUCAUGGUGCUAUCUAAUAUUCUCUUAUGGAUAUCAUAUCAAAAGUUGGAAUGAUAUGUUUGUUUUGAAAGUUAGGCGCUUGACCAUCACAGCCCUGUAUGCAUUCUUUCUGAGUAUAAUUAUGUGAUGUUGAGUAUAA